UCCCUGGUGGCUCAGAUGGUAAAGCGUCUGCCUACAAUGCGGGAGACCCUGGUUCAAUCCCUGGGUCGGGAA
RNAcentral lists this transfer RNA (72 nucleotides) under Bos taurus (domestic cattle). It matches the Rfam family "tRNA". Rfam says of the family: Transfer RNA (tRNA) molecules are approximately 80 nucleotides in length. Their secondary structure includes four short double-helical elements and three loops (D, anti-codon, and T loops). Lineage: Eukaryota; Metazoa; Chordata; Mammalia; Artiodactyla; Bovidae. RNAcentral also lists the same sequence under 1 other name. The record is from Rfam by way of RNAcentral.